AGUCGAGCGAGAAGACGUAGCAAUACGUUUGUAAAGCGGCGAACGGGUGAGGAAUACAUGGGUAACCUACCCUCGAGUGGGGAAUAACUAGCCGAAAGGUUAGCUAAUACCGCGUACGCUCCUUGGACUUCGGUUCAGGGAGGAAAGCGAUACCGUGGGUAUCGCGCUCUUGGAUGGGCUCAUGUCCUAUCAGCUUGUUGGUGAGGUAACGGCUCACCAAGGCUUCGACGGGUAGCUGGUCUGAGAGGACGAUCAGCCACACUGGCACUGCGACACGGGCCAGACUCCUACGGGAGGCAGCAGUAAGGAAUAUUGCGCAAUGGGCGAAAGCCUGACGCAGCGACGCCGCGUGGGGGAUGAAGGUCUUCGGAUUGUAAACCCCUUUCGGGAGGGAAGAUGGAGUGGGGUAACCCAUUCGGACGGUACCUCCAGAAGCAGCCACGGCUAACUUCGUGCCAGCAGCCGCGGUAAUACGAAGGUGGCAAGCGUUGUUCGGAUUUACUGGGCGUACAGGGAGCGUAGGCGGUUCGGUAAGCCCUCUGUGAAAUCUCCAGGCUUAACCUGGAACAGUCGGAGGGGACUGCCGGGCUAGAGGACGGGAGAGGAGCGCGGAAUUCCCGGUGUAGCGGUGAAAUGCGUAGAGAUCGGGAGGAAGGCCGGUGGCGAAGGCGGCGCUCUGGAACGUUUCUGACGCUGAGGCUCGAAAGCGUGGGGAGCAAACAGGAUUAGAUACCCUGG
Molecule: ribosomal RNA, 738 nt
Filed under: uncultured bacterium
Lineage: Bacteria
Description: bacterial SSU rRNA
Rfam family: Bacterial small subunit ribosomal RNA
Source: RNAcentral